This 235-nucleotide long non-coding RNA is filed under the name Solanum tuberosum (potato). Its description in RNAcentral is "long non-coding RNA (STUB_LNC007349)". Lineage: Eukaryota; Viridiplantae; Streptophyta; Magnoliopsida; Solanales; Solanaceae. The record is from RNAcentral.
AUAAAAAUGGAAAAAAUACUAGUAAAGAACUUAGCAUGUUGCAAAAAUAAAAUGGCACCCCAAUUUGGUUGUACGGACAGAUACUAUAAAAAGAAAUAUAACAAAAAAUAUAGAUCAAAAUAUAAAUAUAAAAAACCAAGAAGAAGAUACUAUGUAAAAAACUAUAAAACUAAACGACCAUAUAGGCCAAAGAAAAAAUUAACAUAAUGUACUUGUUAUAAUUGUGGAAAAUUAG